This 550-nucleotide ribosomal RNA is filed under the name uncultured alveolate. RNAcentral's name for it is "SSU rRNA". It matches the Rfam family "Eukaryotic small subunit ribosomal RNA", at positions 594 to 1150 of the family's 1831-position model. The record is from RNAcentral.
AUAGCGUAUAUUAAAGUUGUUGCGGUAAAAAAGCUCGUAGUUGGAUUUCUGUUGAGGGCGUCCGGUCCGUACCACGUACGCGUAUCUGGGUCGCGCUCGGCAUCCUCUCGAAGAACGGUUCUCGCGCUUGAUUGCGUGGUCCGGGUUUCGGGACUUUUACUUUGAGGAAAUUAGAGUGUUCACGGCAGGCAAUUGCCCGGAUACAUUAGCAUGGAAUAAUACUAUAGGAUUUUGGUUCUAUUUUGUUGGUUUCUAGGACUAAAAUAAUGAUUAAUAGGGACAAUUGGGGGCAUUCGUAUCAACACGCUAGAGGUGAAAUUCUUGGAUUGUGUUGCGACGAACUACUGCGAAAGCAUUUGCCAAGGAUGUUUUCAUUGAUCAAGAACGAAAGUAAGGGGAUCGAAGAUGAUUAGAUACCGUCGUAGUCUUUACCACAAACUAUGCCAACUAGAGAUGGGGCAUCGUUCAAUACGACUUGCUCCACACCUUAUGAGAUAUCAAAGUCUUUGGGUUCCGGGGGGAGUAUGGUCGCAAGUCUGGAACUUAAAGG